Sinocyclocheilus rhinocerous is the source of this 327-nucleotide long non-coding RNA. RefSeq lists it as uncharacterized. The transcript has 3 exons. The record is from RefSeq and is a predicted model, not a curated record. Lineage: Eukaryota; Metazoa; Chordata; Actinopteri; Cypriniformes; Cyprinidae.
AUGUGGAAUAGGUGACAUUUUCAAUAAAUUAACAUUGCUUUUCUUUUCCUUAGCAUGUACUAUAUUGUAGAAUUUUUAGAAGAAUCAUUGGUUGGAAUUGUAGCAGAGUGCUGGACAUUUGAAGAUAAUGGGCAACACUAUAGUUACUGGCCCCUGAACAAUCAGACAAAACGGGCAAAAAAAGAAGAACUCCCUGACGAAGAGACAUGGAUCACACGAAAAAUCCGUGUUUUUGCCAAAACUGAUGAUUUCGAGAGGGCAUUAAGGUGGAGUAAAAAUGCUGAAUUGAAUUCCUCUGUAGAAAGCGACGCUGACAAUAACUUCAGG